CUAAAUAACUCUAUGUUUGGUUUCAUUAAAGCUUCACCAAAUUACUAAAUCAAUGUCAAUCUCCAUAUUCUUUUUUGUAAUCUCUCUUCGCCAUCUCUCUUCGAUUAAAGGUAAGCGAUCGUUCUUCAUUUUUAUUUUUGAUUUUAUUUUUAAUUUCAAUUUGAUUUACAGUGCACAACCUAGGGUUUAUGGAUCAUUUGAAGGUAAUCUCAAUUUCAAUUUCAUUCUCUUCUCCAUCGAUUAAAGUUAAUCUCAUUUUCAAUUUUAUUUAUAGUGCGCAACUUAGGGUUUACAGAUUAUUCGAAGGUAAUCUCAUUUUCAAUCCAUUCUCUUCUCCAUCGAUCGAAGCUAAUCUCAUUUUCAAUUUCAUUUACAGUGCGCAACCUAGGGUUUACGGAUAAUUUGAAGUGCGCAACCUAGAGUUUACGGAUAAUUUGAAGAUCUCUUUUAAUGUCUUCACCUACUAAAGUUGCUGACUGGAUUUAGGAAGGAAGCAGAGACCGACUUUAAAUGUUACAGCAUGGAUGGAAGAAGUUCUCCAGAAUUAUAGAAAUGCAGUUUGGUAAGGAGCUUAACUAAGAAGUUGCCAUCAAAGUCAUUGGCGGAAAUGUUCAUUGCCACGCGCAAGAGAAAUGCGGGCCGUUUUUACAAGGAAUUAAGGGAAGAUACAACUAACAAGAUUGAUUUCAGCAAAAUAUUUGUGGAAAAUGGUUCCGUAGCAAAAAAGGCGCUCAAUGUUUAGUUAUUUUUAAAAAAUACUUUGGUGAACAUUUUCUGCUUGUGAUGU
Long non-coding RNA from Mercurialis annua (annual mercury), 787 nucleotides. RefSeq lists it as uncharacterized. The record is from RefSeq and is a predicted model, not a curated record. The transcript has 5 exons. NCBI's taxonomy places the organism in Eukaryota, Viridiplantae, Streptophyta, Magnoliopsida, Malpighiales, Euphorbiaceae.